Molecule: small nuclear RNA, 108 nt
Organism: Gorilla gorilla gorilla (western lowland gorilla)
Lineage: Eukaryota; Metazoa; Chordata; Mammalia; Primates; Hominidae
Source: Ensembl
GUGCUUGCUUCUGUAGCACAUAUACUAAAAUUGGAACCAUACAGAGAAACUUAGCUACAGCCCCAGCGCAAGGGUGACAUGCAAAUUUGUGAUGUGGUCCAUAUGAAG